CCCGCACAAGCGGUGGAGCAUGUGGUUUAAUUCGAUGAUACGCGAGGAACCUUACCUGGGCUCAAAUGUAUGUUGACGUAUUCUGAAAGGGAUACUUCUUCGGACAAUAUACGAGGUGCUGCAUGGUUGUCGUCAGCUCGUGCCGUGAGGUGUCGGGUUAAGUCCCAUAACGAGCGCAACCCCUACCUUUAGUUGCCAUCAGGUAAUGCUGGGGACUCUAAAGGAACUGCCUACGCAAGUAGUGAGGAAGGCGGGGAUGACGUCAAAUCAGCACGGCCCUUACGUCCAGGGCUACACACGUGCUACAAUGGCCGAUACAGAGGGCAGCUACCUGGUGACAGGAUGCAGAUCUCCAAAGUCGGUCUCAGUUCGGAUCGGAGUCUGCAACCCGACUCCGUGAAGUUGGAUUCGCUAGUAAUCGCGCAUCAGCCAUGGCGCGGUGAAUACGUUCCCGGGCCUU
This 460-nucleotide ribosomal RNA is filed under the name uncultured Sphingobacteriales bacterium. RNAcentral's name for it is "bacterial SSU rRNA". It matches the Rfam family "Bacterial small subunit ribosomal RNA", at positions 920 to 1382 of the family's 1533-position model. Lineage: Bacteria; Pseudomonadati; Bacteroidota; Sphingobacteriia; Sphingobacteriales. The record is from RNAcentral.